RNAcentral lists this ribosomal RNA (495 nucleotides) under uncultured bacterium. RNAcentral describes it as "partial 16S ribosomal RNA". It matches the Rfam family "Bacterial small subunit ribosomal RNA", at positions 28 to 507 of the family's 1533-position model. The record is from RNAcentral.
GACGAACGCUGGCGGCGUGCCUAAUACAUGCAAGUAGAACGCUGAAGGAGGAGCUUGCUUCUCUGGAUGAGUUGCGAACGGGUGAGUAACGCGUAGGUAACCUGCCUGGUAGCGGGGGAUAACUAUUGGAAACGAUAGCUAAUACCGCAUAAUAGUAGAUGUUGCAUGACAUUUGCUUAAAAGGUGCAAUUGCAUCACUACCAGAUGGACCUGCGUUGUAUUAGCUAGUUGGUGGGGUAACGGCGCACCAAGGCGACGAUACAUAGCCGACCUGAGAGGGUGGUCGGCCACACUGGGACUGAGACACGGCCCAGACUCCUACGGGAGGCAGCAGGAGGGAAUCGUCGGCAAGGGACGGAAGUCUGACCGAGCAACGCCGCGUGAGUGAAGAAGGUUGUCGGAUCGUAAAGCUCUGUUGUAAGAGAAGAACGAGUGUGAGAGUGGAAAGUUCACACUGUGACGGUAUCUGACCAGAAAGGGACGGCUAACUACGUG